AUUGUUAUAGAAAAUUAAAAUUGGCUAUCAGAAAUGUGUGGAUAGAAUUUCAGUUUGUUGGAUUUCGUAUUUUUUUACAAAUCAGAAGUACAAAGAACUAGAUAUGAAGUAGUGGUGAUGAUUAUGGAGGCAAUAUUAAAUAAAAAUGGUGCUUCAUAGGACUGAACCAGUUACAGUACACCAUGAAUCAUAAAUGCAGAUAAUAAAGGCUCAAUCCCAUGAGAACAGGACUUUUCAUUCUCUUAACACUGGGAUUUUCAAAAAGAUCCCAGUGGCAAUUAUUAACCUAAAGAAGAGGGAAGUGUAACAGAAUCGAUGCAUAAUGAAGGGAAAGCAAGAGAAAGGUUUUUUUUUUUUUUUGGUGGAUGACGCAUGGAAUUGUCAAAGAAAUUAUGCAGCUCCUUUUUAUCUGUCUAAAGUUCAAACAGGGACAAGUGAUGGUGGGUAAUAUCAGGGAUGGGACUCAUCACUUGUAAACUGGUAAUGCUUUUAGUAGAACACAAUUUUAAACAGUAAUUUGAAUGUCAUUGUUUGAAAUGUGCUUGUUCAACACAAAUAAAUCUGAAUGAUAACCCCUUAUAUUUGCCCUCUUCCCACAUUUGAACAAAUAUCAUGCAAGUAAAUGAACUUAUGUGAAAUAAACCAUAGGCUUUAGGGAUGUAAUGGUGCUGGUUGACAUUGUAGGUAGAUAUUUUCAAAGUAAGUAGCACUGGAGAAAAGGGGCAUUUUAUUUUAUAUUUGUAAAUAUAACAUGGCAUCGAGCUGUAACCAGUACCAGAUGGCAUCAGGCUUCUUGGGUUCAUCUCAAAGAAGCUUAUGUGUGUAUUGUGCUUAUGCAGCAUUGCUAUACCUAAAUGCCAGGAGGGAAGGGGGAAAUGGUUGUGUGCAUGCACUAAGGCACAUUGCACCAUGAGGAACAAGGAAGAAAAAUGGAUCACCUGUUUUGUAGCUCAUGAGCUUUGAUAUUUAGACAAGGAACAAUAAGACUGGGGACAAAACACUCCCUGAAAACUGGUGCUGAACCUUCCACAAACCCCUUAGUUUAUCAUGCUUCAUUGGUUGAAAACAUAUGGCAUGCAAGCCCUAGUGUAGUGCUAAGGUUUAGACCACAAAAUUGAAGUCAUUUAUUUCAGUUAAUGAUUAGAGUGUAACAGGCUUCUCAUUUGUCCCAAGACGCUAAUCUGAAGCUUUUAACCCUGAAAUGUUUGCUGAGAUCCAUUUAGUAGCCACCAAGUUAAAGUAAGGUGGGUGUAACCAGGAGAACCUGUGGAUCCAAUUUGCAGAGAAGCCUUAGAUGUGAUCCCCACUAUGUUUAAAGGAAUGUAUGCUCAUCUUUUGGGGAUUUUGACCUUAAUGUUUAAUGGAGUGCAUUCUUCCCAAAUAGCAGAUCGUUCAUCCCUAAAAAGACAGUCGUAUUGCUCUUCCAGUUUGCUUACGUCCAUCUUGGUUGGCUGCCGGGAACAGUCUGAGGCUCCUUGCUUGGACGGAUGAGUCACUAAAAAAAUACGGCUCAUAUAUUCAUAAGCGCUCACCAUCUGUUCCCAUAAGAAAGACAAAAUUAGGCAGAAGCAGAACACUUCCCUCAUGGUGCUUGCCAAAAAGCAGAGGAGGCUGGAAACAUGAGAAGUUCACCUGCAAGGCAAUGGAUUCCUUUUCAAUACCUGCUGCAACAGGUGCUGCUCACAGUUUCAAUCCGUGAACAUGUCAACUUUCCUUCCAAAUGCAUCCAACGUGUCCCGAACCUAUGAAUGCAGACUCUAAUGACAAAGAACUGUUCAACUGGAACCGGUGUUGACUUAAGGGCAAACAUACGAAUCAAUCCUUGCCAAAAACGACAGAGAAAUACAAAACCACACUCAAGAAAGUACAAUACACAAAGCUCUGGAAGAUGGCUUUGUACUUUUCUUAACCUAGACUAAAAGAUUUGUCUGCAAUUUGUAUUUAUGUUUUUCACUUAUAUUUUAAUGGUUGGUUUUAUAGCAAAUUCUGUGAUAAUUAUUUUGCUCAUUUUGUCCGGUUAUUUUUUUUAAUUGCCUUUUUUUAGAUACCAAUAAAAAGUAAGGAUUAUGCACUA
Molecule: long non-coding RNA, 2074 nt
Organism: Anolis carolinensis (green anole)
Lineage: Eukaryota; Metazoa; Chordata; Lepidosauria; Squamata; Anolidae
Exons: 2
Source: RefSeq, a predicted model, not a curated record